UACGAAGGGAGCUAGCGUUGUUCGGAAUCACUGGGCGUAAAGCGCACGUAGGCGGAUUUGUCAGUCAGGGGUGAAAUCCCGGGGGCUCAACCUCGGAACUGCCUUUGAUACAGCAAGUCUUGAGUUCGAGAGAGGUGGGUGGAAUUCCUAGUGUAGAGGUGAAAUUCGUAGAUAUUAGGAAGAACACCGGUGGCGAAGGC
RNAcentral lists this ribosomal RNA (200 nucleotides) under uncultured bacterium. RNAcentral describes it as "partial 16S ribosomal RNA". It matches the Rfam family "Bacterial small subunit ribosomal RNA", at positions 524 to 722 of the family's 1533-position model. The record is from RNAcentral.